This 235-nucleotide ribosomal RNA is filed under the name uncultured bacterium. Its description in RNAcentral is "partial 16S ribosomal RNA". It matches the Rfam family "Bacterial small subunit ribosomal RNA", at positions 104 to 334 of the family's 1533-position model. The record is from RNAcentral.
CGGGACGGGGUGGAGUAAUGUCUGGGAAACGGCCCGAUGGAGGGGGAUAACUACUGGAAACGGUAGCUAAUACCGCAUAACGUCGCAAGACCAAAGAGGGGGACCUUCGGGCCUCUUGCCAUCGGAUGUGCCCAGAUGGGAUUAGCUAGUAGGUGGGGUAACGGCUCACCUAGGCGACGAUCCCUAGCUGGUCUGAGAGGAUGACCAGCCACACUGGAACUGAGACACGGUCCAG